UACGUAGGGUGCGAGCGUUAAUCGGAAUUACUGGGCGUAAAGCGUGCGCAGGCGGUUUUGUAAGACAGAUGUGAAAUCCCCGGGCUCAACCUGGGAACUGCGUUUGUGACUGCAUCGCUGGAGUGCGGCAGAGGGGGAUGGAAUUCCGCGUGUAGCAGUGAAAUGCGUAGAUAUGCGGAGGAACACCGAUGGCGAAGGCAAUCCCCUGGGCCUGCACUGACGCUCAUGCACGAAAGCGUGGGGAGCAAACAGG
Molecule: ribosomal RNA, 253 nt
Filed under: uncultured bacterium
Lineage: Bacteria
Description: partial 16S ribosomal RNA
Rfam family: Bacterial small subunit ribosomal RNA
Source: RNAcentral